GGAUGUGAGGGCAAUCUGGCUGUGCCAUCUGUCACCCCAUUGAUCGCCAGGGUUGAUUGGGCUGAUCUGGCUGGCUGGGCGGAUAUCCCCUUCCUCCCUCAAUGAUCCAUGUGUGUCCCUCCCCAAGCUGCACACUGUGGGUGGAAGAGGAGGCCCAUGCCCAAUAGUGGAGGACCGUUCCUUGGUCAAGGGUGUACAAGUAGCUUCGCUCCCCUGCNNNNNNNNNN
RNAcentral lists this small RNA (227 nucleotides) under Cavia aperea (Brazilian guinea pig). RNAcentral describes it as "7SK RNA (ENSCAPG00000000750.1)". It matches the Rfam family "7SK RNA", at positions 1 to 225 of the family's 331-position model. Rfam says of the family: 7SK was discovered as an abundant small nuclear RNA in the mid-70s but a possible function has only recently been suggested. Two independent studies have found that 7SK RNA binds the CDK9/cyclin T complex (known as elongation factor P-TEFb). Lineage: Eukaryota; Metazoa; Chordata; Mammalia; Rodentia; Caviidae. The record is from RNAcentral.